Molecule: long non-coding RNA, 442 nt
Filed under: Dromaius novaehollandiae (emu)
Lineage: Eukaryota; Metazoa; Chordata; Aves; Casuariiformes; Dromaiidae
Description: lncRNA (ENSDNVG00000013220.1)
Source: RNAcentral
GGGAUGGGAAGCCCCGGCUGCAUCCUUUGGUCAAUUACUGAAGUGACUCUUGCAUUCCCUAAUCCCUGUUAAUAUCACUGCUUGUCAAAGAAGAUUUGUGCCUUUCCUGGAAGACAGCCGCCUAUUCUGUACUGGCUGGGGGAGAAAGAGACAACUCAUCAGCUUGUGCCGGGAACAGUGAAAGGCAGGAAAGAAAGGCACCCUGUUCUCUGGGGAGAAUGUACAGGAGGUUUCAUCUGCCUCCUUGAUUGCACAGAACAAACAAACAAACUGCACAAUAAAAAAUGGAAACCUCAUGCCCUGAGAUGUUCUUCAAUGUGAUGUAUGGAUCUGAAAUACCAUUUAGGAUGGAGUGACAGGAUUUGUUGAGAGGAGCUGAAGGGACCUCUGAACAAUCACACCUCGGACCUCUGAACAAUCACACCUCUUGCUUCGGUGCCUG